Molecule: unclassified non-coding RNA, 248 nt
Filed under: Hevea brasiliensis (rubber tree)
Lineage: Eukaryota; Viridiplantae; Streptophyta; Magnoliopsida; Malpighiales; Euphorbiaceae
Source: RNAcentral
AUGGCCUUGCCAAUUUAGGAUCAAUAACUUCACUCUUGAAAGUGUAGGCUCCCCUAGAGUCAUAUUCACACAUUCUGGAUUCUUAGUUGUACUGCAAUAUGAUGAAAAUGUUGGCAAACCUUCAAGUUAUGUAUAAGUCUGGUGCGUUUGUAUUUUGGAUCCGGAUUUGGAUCUAGGCACCCUCAUUGUAAAUCUUGGAUAUUGACAGCCUAUUUGCAUAGAAGAAAUUUAUAAAAAUUCAAUUUAAU